GAGGAAAGGAAAGAAGCAGUGCUCCGACUGUGGUUACUUGGCUCUGAGAAAUCCGAAUCACUCGCAGACGAUUUCAGGUGGUUCCUAAACCUCGUUUCUAGAUUCAUCUGCGAGUCUUCAAACACUGAGUCCUCAUCUGAUAGCUGAAGCUUUUCAAGUUCUUUGUUAAUCUUUUGAACAUCAGCAACUGUUGUAGUUGCGGCAGGGUCACUGUCAGACUUGGAGUAUUCUGCACACAGAUUGAGGAUCGUCUCCAGCCGCUGUCGCUCCAAGCGUUCCAUCUCCUGCUCCCGAAGCCGCUCUUCCCUCUGCCUCCUGUGAUAGUCCAUGAGGUCUUCUCUCCCUGAAAUGGAGCUGAUGCUGUUCUUACGCUCUCUCACAGAGGUCUGCAGUGAGUUUGGUGUCUGCCUGUAACUUUCCAAGUCUGUAUCAUCGAAUUCCAUGGAACUGGUGGAGAGGUUUCUUCUGAUAGAGAACGAUCUGUCAAAAUCCAC
RNAcentral lists this long non-coding RNA (494 nucleotides) under Gallus gallus (chicken). Lineage: Eukaryota; Metazoa; Chordata; Aves; Galliformes; Phasianidae. The record is from RNAcentral.